AAGAAGUGGGGUGAUUAUGUAAUCUGCAAAUGCCGAACUGAGGUUGUCGAUCGCGAAAAUAAUAACAGUAAUCAAUACAUCACUGGCAGUCUGUGGGAGAGCAACUGAGAAGAAAACUUCACCCAAGUACAGGAAGCGGCAGUCAUCAUGCUUCGAGGAAGAAACUCCCUCAUAAUCGCAGGGUUUGUGGGAUGUAUAGGCAUUGCGCUGUACCCCAUUGUCAUCUCUCCAAUGAUGAACUCAUCAUCGUGGAAGCAAGUACAAAGAGAAACAAGAAAGGGUGUGAAUCAGAAAGAUGUUCAACCUGGAGGCAUGAGAGUAUGGAGCGACCCUUUCAAGCCUCGAGCCGACUCCAAGUGAGAUCUCGAAAUUCUGCCGACAAAUGUCAACAGUUUAUGAACAGAAACACUUGAACUUUGAAGCAAUGGCCUAUAUUGUCAUGACCAUGUGCAAGAUAACGUAAACAAGAUAUAAACGCUUGAAGGAGAGAGAAAAAUGACGUUCUAGGAGAGGAGCAAGAGGAUUUUCCAAGAGGACUUUAUUCUACGUCACAUCAGGGUUCAUCGUUUGAUGUUCCCUUUGGAAACACCUUGCUCUAUAAUGCAGUGCUGAACAAUUGCUACAUGUACAUCGCAAACGUCAAUGCAGUGAAACUGUGAGUUCAUAAAGGGUCUGCAGCUCUUUCUUGCGGAUGGGAAGUUACAACCUGGUCACUCGUUAUGGUAAUUUUUAUUGGGCAAUGCAAUUCAGUAAUCAUGGGAAUAUGAUUUUAUUUAUCAUGGAAAAAGCAUGGUAUAAGUAAUAAUAAUAAUAAUAACUGAAUUAUACACAGAGAGUUAAUGCCCUUCUGGCUCUACUAGAGACUACAUGUACUGAAUGUAAUCCAUAGGUGAAUCUAGUAAAGGGUAUACACUUGACUUGUGACUGUCAUUUGAAAAUUGAAGAAAAAACAAAAAACAAACAGAAAAGGAAAAAACAACUUAACUAAAACCCUGUAUUAAAUUGAUUGAUCAUGAUAAUGGGCAAGACCAACAAAUCAGGGAAAUUGUUCUGCUUUUUAUUCUUCUGAUUUUCAUCUUUCAAUCAAUCAAACUUUUGUUUAACUGUUAUCCUUCAUUUGUGACAUCAGCUGUCAGUAUACAGUUUUAUUCCUACAGUUUGACCAAUCAGAGGCUAGAAUCAUUAAAUGCAGAUGAUAAUAUGAACUCUUGGAGCCUUGUAUACCUACUUUCAUUAUACAUUGCAAAUUUGUUUACUUUUUAACGAUGAAGUGUAGAUUAUCAUGAAGAAAAUGUGAUUUUACGAGUGGUGGCAUGUUUUCAAACAUUUUGAUACUAAUGAGUAACACGAUUUCAGGACGAUAAUUCUUGGAAUGCUAAAUGCUUUUAAUUACUAAUCAAAUUACUUAUUUAGGGGAUAGGGUUCACCAUCAAUAACUAGAAUCAAAAGAGCUCUGUUAAUGGUAUCUGAGAGGUUUUGUGUAUUCUUUUACCUCCCAACUAAUGUCCAUAUAAAACUGAAUCAUGCACUCAGUAUGCAAUUUGCUUUGCUUUUCAACUUUAGAAGAUUCUUUAUAUUGUUUAUGACAGGUUAUGUAAGCUUGUAAAGCUGGACAAAUAUGAAUAAAUAUUAAAAGAUGUAUCAAAA
This 1647-nucleotide long non-coding RNA is filed under the name Strongylocentrotus purpuratus (purple sea urchin). Its description in RNAcentral is "uncharacterized LOC105440227, transcript variant X1". The record is from RNAcentral. Lineage: Eukaryota; Metazoa; Echinodermata; Echinoidea; Camarodonta; Strongylocentrotidae.